RNAcentral lists this ribosomal RNA (470 nucleotides) under uncultured bacterium. RNAcentral describes it as "partial 16S ribosomal RNA". It matches the Rfam family "Bacterial small subunit ribosomal RNA", at positions 28 to 507 of the family's 1533-position model. The record is from RNAcentral.
GACGAACGCUGGCGGCGUGCUUAACACAUGCAAGUCGAACGGUGAAAGAGGGAGCUUGCUCCCUUCGGGUUAGUGGCGAACGGGUGAGUAACACGUGAGCAAUCUGCCCCGAACUCUGGGAUAAGCGCGGGAAACGACGUCUAAUACCGGAUAAGACGCGGGAGGGCAUCGUCCAAGAGUGGAAAGCCCUUCGGUUUGGGAUGAGAGCGCGGCCCAUCAGCUUGUUGGUGAGGGAACGGGUCACCAAGGCGACGACGGAUAGCCCGCCUGCGAGGGUGACCGGCCUCCCUGGGCCUGAGACACGCCCCAGUCUCCUACGUGCGGCAGCAGUCGGAAAUCUUGCACAGUGGGCGCAAGCCUGAUGCAGCGGCGUCGCGUUCGUGACGACCGCCUUCUGGUUGUAAACCUCUUUUAGCAGGGAAGUAGCGAUAGUGACGGUACCUGCAGAAAAAGCACCGGCUAACUACGUG